RNAcentral lists this ribosomal RNA (391 nucleotides) under Candidatus Cardinium sp. RNAcentral describes it as "bacterial SSU rRNA". It matches the Rfam family "Bacterial small subunit ribosomal RNA", at positions 335 to 723 of the family's 1533-position model. Lineage: Bacteria; Pseudomonadati; Bacteroidota; Cytophagia; Cytophagales; Amoebophilaceae. RNAcentral also lists the same sequence under 1 other name. The record is from RNAcentral.
ACUCCUACGGGAGGCAGCAGUAGGGAAUAUUGGUCAAUGGGCGCAAGCCUGAACCAGCCAUGCCGCGUGCAGGAUGAAGGCUCUCUGAGUCGUAAACUGCUUUUGUACAGGAACAAAAAAGCUUCUGCGGAAGUUCUUGAGGGUACUGUAAGAAUAAGCACCGGCUAAUUCCGUGCCAGCAGCCGCGGUAAUACGGAAGGUGCAAGCGUUAUCCGGUUUUAUUGGGUUUAAAGGGUGCGUAGGCGGUUUAUUAAGUCAGUUGUGAAAUCCUAGUGCUCAACGCUAGAACUGCAAUUGAUACUAGUAGACUUGAGUUAAGAAGAGGCAAGUAGAAUUUAUGGUGUAGUAGUGAAAUGCUUAGAUAUCAUAAGGAAUACCAAUAGCGUAGGCA